RNAcentral lists this unclassified non-coding RNA (206 nucleotides) under soil metagenome. RNAcentral describes it as "partial contains 5.8S ribosomal RNA, internal transcribed spacer 2, and large subunit ribosomal RNA". The record is from RNAcentral.
AACAUCGCGCACCUGCGGGAACCUGCGGAGGGAUCAUUACCGAGUUUACAACUCCCAAACCCCUGUGAACAUACCACUUGUUGCCUCGGCGGAUCAGCCCGCUCCCGGUAAAACGGGACGGCCCGCCAGAGGACCCCUAAACUCUGUUUCUAUAUGUAACUUCUGAGUAAAACCAUAAAUAAAUCAAAACUUUCAGCAACGGAUCU